UCAGAUUGCUCAUUAAGCUCACAAUUUUCC
This 30-nucleotide non-coding RNA is filed under the name Rattus norvegicus (Norway rat). The record is from RNAcentral. Lineage: Eukaryota; Metazoa; Chordata; Mammalia; Rodentia; Muridae.